CUAAAGCAUCCGUAGCCGGCUCUGUAGUUUUCGGUUAAAUCUGUACGCUUAACGUACAGGCUGCCGGGAAUACUGCCAAACUUGGGAGCGGGAGAGGUAGACGGUACUCGGUAGGAAGUGGUAAAAUGCUUUGAUCUAUCGAUGACCACCUGUGGCGAAGGCGGUCUACCAGAACACGAUCCGACGGUGAGGGAUGAAAGCUGGGGGAGCAAACCGGAUUAGAUACCCGGGUAGUCCCAGCUGUAAACUAUGCAAACUUGGGAUUGCAUUGGCUUGUGGCCAAUGCAGUGCUGCAAGGAAGCCGUUAAGUUUGCCGCCUGGGAAGUACGUACGCAAGUAUGAAACUUAAAGGAAUUGGCG
This 360-nucleotide ribosomal RNA is filed under the name uncultured archaeon. RNAcentral's name for it is "bacterial SSU rRNA". It matches the Rfam family "Archaeal small subunit ribosomal RNA", at positions 510 to 870 of the family's 1478-position model. The record is from RNAcentral.